UACGUAGGGGGCAAGCGUUAUCCGGAUUUACUGGGUGUAAAGGGAGCGUAGACGGUGAGACAAGUCUGAAGUGAAAGCCCGGGGCUCAACCCCGGGACUGCUUUGGAAACUGCCUGACUGGAGUGCUGGAGAGGCAAGCGGAAUUCCUAGUGUAGCGGUGGAAUGCGUAGAUAUUAGGAGGAACACCAGAGGCGAAGGCGGCUAACUGGACUGCAACUGACGCUGAGGCACGAAAGUGUGGGGAGCAAACAGG
Molecule: ribosomal RNA, 253 nt
Filed under: uncultured Eubacteriales bacterium
Lineage: Bacteria; Bacillati; Bacillota; Clostridia; Eubacteriales
Description: uncultured Clostridiales bacterium partial 16S ribosomal RNA
Rfam family: Bacterial small subunit ribosomal RNA
Source: RNAcentral